Molecule: ribosomal RNA, 2823 nt
Filed under: Escherichia coli
Lineage: Bacteria; Pseudomonadati; Pseudomonadota; Gammaproteobacteria; Enterobacterales; Enterobacteriaceae
Description: bacterial LSU rRNA
Rfam family: Bacterial large subunit ribosomal RNA
Source: RNAcentral
AACCGUUAUAACCGGCGAUUUCCGAAUGGGGAAACCCAGUGUGUUUCGACACACUAUCAUUAACUGAAUCCAUAGGUUAAUGAGGCGAACCGGGGGAACUGAAACAUCUAAGUACCCCGAGGAAAAGAAAUCAACCGAGAUUCCCCCAGUAGCGGCGAGCGAACGGGGAGGAGCCCAGAGCCUGAAUCAGUGUGUGUGUUAGUGGAAGCGUCUGGAAAGGCGCGCGAUACAGGGUGACAGCCCCGUACACAAAAAUGCACAUAUUGUGAGCUCGAUGAGUAGGGCGGGACACGUGGUAUCCUGUCUGAAUAUGGGGGGACCAUCCUCCAAGGCUAAAUACUCCUGACUGACCGAUAGUGAACCAGUACCGUGAGGGAAAGGCGAAAAGAACCCCGGCGAGGGGAGUGAAAAAGAACCUGAAACCGUGUACGUACAAGCAGUGGGAGCCUCUUAAUGGGGUGACUGCGUACCUUUUGUAUAAUGGGUCAGCGACUUAUAUUCUGUAGCAAGGUUAACCGAAUAGGGGAGCCGAAGGGAAACCGAGUCUUAACUGGGCGUUAAGUUGCAGGGUAUAGACCCGAAACCCGGUGAUCUAGCCAUGGGCAGGUUGAAGGUUGGGUAACACUAACUGGAGGACCGAACCGACUAAUGUUGAAAAAUUAGCGGAUGACUUGUGGCUGGGGGUGAAAGGCCAAUCAAACCGGGAGAUAGCUGGUUCUCCCCGAAAGCUAUUUAGGUAGCGCCUCGUGAAUUCAUCUCCGGGGGUAGAGCACUGUUUCGGCAAGGGGGUCAUCCCGACUUACCAACCCGAUGCAAACUGCGAAUACCGGAGAAUGUUAUCACGGGAGACACACGGCGGGUGCUAACGUCCGUCGUGAAGAGGGAAACAACCCAGACCGCCAGCUAAGGUCCCAAAGUCAUGGUUAAGUGGGAAACGAUGUGGGAAGGCCCAGACAGCCAGGAUGUUGGCUUAGAAGCAGCCAUCAUUUAAAGAAAGCGUAAUAGCUCACUGGUCGAGUCGGCCUGCGCGGAAGAUGUAACGGGGCUAAACCAUGCACCGAAGCUGCGGCAGCGACACUAUGUGUUGUUGGGUAGGGGAGCGUUCUGUAAGCCUGUGAAGGUGGCCUGUGAGGGUUGCUGGAGGUAUCAGAAGUGCGAAUGCUGACAUAAGUAACGAUAAAGCGGGUGAAAAGCCCGCUCGCCGGAAGACCAAGGGUUCCUGUCCAACGUUAAUCGGGGCAGGGUGAGUCGACCCCUAAGGCGAGGCCGAAAGGCGUAGUCGAUGGGAAACAGGUUAAUAUUCCUGUACUUGGUGUUACUGCGAAGGGGGGACGGAGAAGGCUAUGUUGGCCGGGCGACGGUUGUCCCGGUUUAAGCGUGUAGGCUGGUUUUCCAGGCAAAUCCGGAAAAUCAAGGCUGAGGCGUGAUGACGAGGCACUACGGUGCUGAAGCGACAAAUGCCCUGCUUCCAGGAAAAGCCUCUAAGCAUCAGGUAACAUCAAAUCGUACCCCAAACCGACACAGGUGGUCAGGUAGAGAAUACCAAGGCGCUUGAGAGAACUCGGGUGAAGGAACUAGGCAAAAUGGUGCCGUAACUUCGGGAGAAGGCACGCUGAUAUGUAGGUGAAGCGACUUGCUCGUGGAGCUGAAAUCAGUCGAAGAUACCAGCUGGCUGCAACUGUUUAUUAAAAACACAGCACUGUGCAAACACGAAAGUGGACGUAUACGGUGUGACGCCUGCCCGGUGCCGGAAGGUUAAUUGAUGGGGUUAGCGGUAACGCGAAGCUCUUGAUCGAAGCCCCGGUAAACGGCGGCCGUAACUAUAACGGUCCUAAGGUAGCGAAAUUCCUUGUCGGGUAAGUUCCGACCUGCACGAAUGGCGUAAUGAUGGCCAGGCUGUCUCCACCCGAGACUCAGUGAAAUUGAACUCGCUGUGAAGAUGCAGUGUACCCGCGGCAAGACGGAAAGACCCCGUGAACCUUUACUAUAGCUUGACACUGAACAUUGAGCCUUGAUGUGUAGGAUAGGUGGGAGGCUUUGAAGUGUGGACGCCAGUCUGCAUGGAGCCGACCUUGAAAUACCACCCUUUAAUGUUUGAUGUUCUAACGUGGGCCCCUUACCGGGGUUGCGGACAGUGUCUGGUGGGUAGUUUGACUGGGGCGGUCUCCUCCUAAAGAGUAACGGAGGAGCACGAAGGUUGGCUAAUCCUGGUCGGACAUCAGGAGGUUAGUGCAAUGGCAUAAGCCAGCUUGACUGCGAGCGUGACGGCGCGAGCAGGUGCGAAAGCAGGUCAUAGUGAUCCGGUGGUUCUGAAUGGAAGGGCCAUCGCUCAACGGAUAAAAGGUACUCCGGGGAUAACAGGCUGAUACCGCCCAAGAGUUCAUAUCGACGGCGGUGUUUGGCACCUCGAUGUCGGCUCAUCACAUCCUGGGGCUGAAGUAGGUCCCAAGGGUAUGGCUGUUCGCCAUUUAAAGUGGUACGCGAGCUGGGUUUAGAACGUCGUGAGACAGUUCGGUCCCUAUCUGCCGUGGGCGCUGGAGAACUGAGGGGGGCUGCUCCUAGUACGAGAGGACCGGAGUGGACGCAUCACUGGUGUUCGGGUUGUCAUGCCAAUGGCACUGCCCGGUAGCUAAAUGCGGAAGAGAUAAGUGCUGAAAGCAUCUAAGCACGAAACUUGCCCCGAGAUGAGUUCUCCCUGACUCCUUGAGAGUCCUGAAGGAACGUUGAAGACGACGACGUUGAUAGGCCGGGUGUGUAAGCGCAGCGAUGCGUUGAGCUAACCGGUACUAAUGAACCGUGAGGCUUAACCUUACAACGCCGAAG